AGAGGGGGCAAGCGUUGCUCGGAAUUACUGGGCGUAAAGGGCGUGUAGGCGGGAUGGUAAGUCGGUCGUGAAAUCCUUCGGCUCAACCGAAGAACGUCGAUCGAUACUGCCGUUCUUGAGGGUUGCAGAGGAGACUGGAAUUCCCGGUGUAGCGGUGAAAUGUGUAGAGAUCGGGAGGAACACCGGUGGCGAAGGCGGGUCUCUGGGCAAUUCCUGACGCUGAGGCGCGAAAGCGUGGGGAGCAAACGGGAUUAGAUACCCCGGUAGUCCACGCUGUAAACGAUGACGACUAGGUGUGGGGGGUUCAGUCCCAUCCGUGCCGCAGCUAACGCAUUAAGUCGUCCGCCUGGGGAGUACGGCCGCAAGGUUG
RNAcentral lists this ribosomal RNA (370 nucleotides) under uncultured bacterium. RNAcentral's name for it is "bacterial SSU rRNA". It matches the Rfam family "Bacterial small subunit ribosomal RNA", at positions 527 to 896 of the family's 1533-position model. The record is from RNAcentral.